Molecule: ribosomal RNA, 326 nt
Filed under: uncultured eukaryote
Lineage: Eukaryota
Description: partial 18S ribosomal RNA
Rfam family: Eukaryotic small subunit ribosomal RNA
Source: RNAcentral
CCCUUAGAUGUUCUGGGCUGCACGCGCGCUACACUGAUGCGUUCAACAAGUUGGACCUCGUCCGAGAGGAAAUCGGGGGAAUCUUUUGAAAACGUAUCGUGAUGGGGAUAGAUUAUUGUAAUUAUUAAUCUUCAACGAGGAAUUCCUAGUAAGCAUGAAUCAUCAGCUCGUGCUGAUUACGUCCCUGCCCUUUGUACACACCGCCCGUCGCUCCUACCGAUUGAGUAAUCCGGUGAAUUAACCAGAUUGUGGCGAGGGUAGUUUUCUGCUAUUGCUACGAAAAGGUUUGUGAACCUUAUCACUUAGAGGAAGGAGAAGUCGUAACA